This 303-nucleotide ribosomal RNA is filed under the name uncultured bacterium. RNAcentral describes it as "partial 16S ribosomal RNA". It matches the Rfam family "Bacterial small subunit ribosomal RNA", at positions 507 to 807 of the family's 1533-position model. The record is from RNAcentral.
AGCAGUAGCCGCGGUAAUACAGAGGGUGCGAGCGUUAAUCGGAUUUACUGGGCGUAAAGCGUGCGUAGGCGGCUUUUUAAGUCGGAUGUGAAAUCCCCGAGCCUAACUUGGGAAUUGCAUUCGAUACUGGGAAGCUAGAGUAUGGGAGAGGAUGGUAGAAUUCCAGGUGUAGCGGUGAAAUGCGUAGAGAUCUGGAGGAAUACCGGUGGCGAAGGCAGCCAUCUGGCCUAAUACUGACGCUGAGGUACGAAAGCAUGGGGAGCAAACAGGAUUAGAUACCCCCGUAGUCCCUGUCUCUUAUAC